Oreochromis niloticus (Nile tilapia) is the source of this 1556-nucleotide long non-coding RNA. RefSeq lists it as uncharacterized. NCBI's taxonomy places the organism in Eukaryota, Metazoa, Chordata, Actinopteri, Cichliformes, Cichlidae. The record is from RefSeq and is a predicted model, not a curated record. The transcript has 5 exons.
CUCCAAGUAUACUUGUUGUAAUGAUUUAACACCACAUUUUGCCUCUAAUGGCUGGAGUCGUGUAAAAGCUGAAAGAAUGUCCAACUAAAUCAGCCACAGUCACGCUCUGCUCUGCUUCUCUUUCAGCUGUAUUAUCUCAGGGGGAAAGAUCAGAAAAUGAGGUCAGCUAUGCAGAAACUGAAGCACAAACUGGAGGAGAUAGUCUUACGAAGUAAGGAUGAAGAAACACUGAAGGAUCUAAGAAAGGAGCAACGAGAGUUACAGAAGCAGCUGGAUACCAGACAGGAAAACGAACCUCUGCAAGCAACGCGAUCAUUUAUGCUGGUUUAAAAUAUAGAGUCUCAGUUACUCAGUGACACCAUUAACCAGGAAGUAACAUGAACUGAAACUACUCUCAGUGCAGCACGCUCCAGUCUUUGAUGACCAAAUCUCUGUUUCUAUUGUACUCUGAGUUUUUCACUUUCACAGAGCUGCACUGCAAUUCCAAGAGGAGUCCAGGAGAAACACAAAAUAUGAUGCCACAAAUAAGAUACAACAUUACAACAUUUGGGCACAGAAUGAAAAGACAAAGAUGAGGUGAUUUAUACUGUAAUGUAAAGACCCAACGAUGAUACAGGGAACACAGAAAACAAAAAACCCAACAAUAAGAUGACCCUCGAGUGUUACUUCAAAACACUGAAAACAACUUUCCACUUGGCGACGGCAGGAAGGAAAUUUAUUUUAUGCAAAGGAUGUUGAAGAUGGAGCUGCCAGGCAGGCAGAAAGAGGAAGACCAGAGAGAAAGCUCAUGGAUGAGGUGAAGGAGGACAUGCAGAGGGUUGGUGUAACAGAAGACGGUUGGAGGGAUAAGGUGUGACCGAGGCAAAGGAUCUACUAUGGUGGCCCGUAAUGGGAGCAACUAUAAAAAGAAGAAGAAGAAGACCCUCUCUCCUUAAUAACAUCCUAACUCUCCACCAUUCAAACCAUUCUAGGACACUCUUCCAUAAUUAUAUUGUCAUGUAUUUGUUCCAUUCAUAUGCUAGCUUUUACAACACUGUUUUGAACUAACGGGGCUAAUAACUAAUGAGGCUUUAGACUGAAGCAUUUAUAUCUGCUUCAUAUUAGCUGAAAUAAGACCUUAUUUCUGAGGAACACAUGAGAACAUUUGGUGAUUUCAGUCUUUAAUAAAAUAUAAAUUAUUUACAAUUUAUUAUCUGUGAUACACCUUUCAGAUGGGUAUGUUUCACAGUGUUAUUCCUCCCUCAUUUAUGUGUAUACCAGUGUGUUUAUUGUGGCACCAUUGAAUCAAAGACCUGUGCAAACUAUCACACAAUGUUUUUGGUGUGACAUAAAAAAUUGGAUUUCUCUAAAAAUUAAUGACGUGUCACUAGCUAAGUUCAUUUUGCACAUUAAGCUCCUUUGUACAUCCACAUCGACACCUGCAUACCUCACUUGUCUUCACUUACUUAUUUUUGUACUUAUUUAUUUAUCUUGUUCCUUCAACCUAACUUGGCAUUUGUGUUUGGACAGCAAAGGAAGAAUUUCAUUGCACAGAGAAAUGCUAUUUCUUCUGUACA